This 403-nucleotide ribosomal RNA is filed under the name Bacteroidota bacterium. Its description in RNAcentral is "Bacteroidetes bacterium partial 16S ribosomal RNA". It matches the Rfam family "Bacterial small subunit ribosomal RNA", at positions 355 to 776 of the family's 1533-position model. Lineage: Bacteria; Pseudomonadati; Bacteroidota. The record is from RNAcentral.
UGGGGAAUAUUGCACAAUGGAGGGAACUCUGAUGCAGCGACGCCGCGUGAACGAAGAAGGCUUUCGAGUCGUAAAGUUCUUUUAUAUGGGAAGAUAAUGACGGUACCAUAAGAAAAAGCCCCGGCUAACUACGUGCCAGCAGCCGCGGUAAUACGUAGGGGGCUAGCGUUGUCCGGAAUCACUGGGCGUAAAGGGUUCGCAGGCGGAAAUGCAAGUCAGGUGUAAAAGGCAGUAGCUUAACCAUUGUAGGCUUUGGAAACUGUUUAACUUGAGUGCAGAAGGGGAGAGUGGAAUUCCAUGUGUAGCGGUGAAAUGCGUAGAUAUAUGGAGGAACACCGGUGGCGAAAGCGGCUCUCUGGUCUGUAACUGACGCUGAGGCUCGAAAGCGUGGGGAGCGAACAGG